Molecule: ribosomal RNA, 459 nt
Filed under: uncultured bacterium
Lineage: Bacteria
Description: partial 16S ribosomal RNA
Rfam family: Bacterial small subunit ribosomal RNA
Source: RNAcentral
CCUACGGGUGGCAGCAGUGAGGAAUAUUGGUCAAUGGGCGCGAGCCUGAACCAGCCAAGUCGCGUGAGGGAAGACGGUCCUAUGGAUUGUAAACCUCUUUUGUCGGGGAGCAAAAGACGCCACGCGUGGCGUUCCGAGAGUACCCGAAGAAAAAGCAUCGGCUAACUCCGUGCCAGCAGCCGCGGUAAUACGGAGGAUGCGAGCGUUAUCCGGAUUCAUUGGGCGUAAAGGGCGCGUAGGCGGCCGCCUAAGCGGAACCUCUAACCCCGGGGCUCAACCUCGGGCCGGGUGCCGGACUGGGCGGCUCGAGUGCGGUAGAGGAGAGCGGAAUUCCCGGUGUAGCGGUGGAAUGCGCAGAUAUCGGGAAGAACACCGAUGGCGAAGGCAGCUCUCUGGGCCGUCACUGACGCUGAGGCGCGAAAGCUGGGGGAGCGAACAGGAUUAGAUACCCCGGUAGUC